UGGGGAAUAUUGGACAAUGGGCGAAAGCCUGAUCCAGCCAUGCCGCGUGUGUGAAGAAGGUCUUCGGAUUGUAAAGCACUUUAAGUUGGGAGGAAGGGUUGUAGAUUAAUACUCUGCAAUUUUGACGUUACCGACAGAAUAAGCACCGGCUAACUCUGUGCCAGCAGCCGCGGUAAUACAGAGGGUGCAAGCGUUAAUCGGAAUUACUGGGCGUAAAGCGCGCGUAGGUGGUUUGUUAAGUUGGAUGUGAAAGCCCGGGCUCAACCUGGGAACUGCAUCCAAAACUGGCAAGCUAGAGUACGGUAGAGGGUGGUGGAAUUUCCUGUGUAGCGGUGAAAUGCGUAGAUAUAGGAAGGAACACCAGUGGCGAAGGCGACCACCUGGACUGAUACUGACACUGAGGUGCGAAAGCGUGGGGAGCAAACA
This 426-nucleotide ribosomal RNA is filed under the name uncultured bacterium. RNAcentral's name for it is "partial 16S ribosomal RNA". It matches the Rfam family "Bacterial small subunit ribosomal RNA", at positions 355 to 774 of the family's 1533-position model. The record is from RNAcentral.